RNAcentral lists this transfer RNA (37 nucleotides) under Ololygon sp. KAV8. Its description in RNAcentral is "partial tRNA-Val". The record is from RNAcentral. Lineage: Eukaryota; Metazoa; Chordata; Amphibia; Anura; Hylidae.
CAAAGUGUAGCUUAACCAAAGCCUCUCGCUUACACCG